UACGUAGGGGGCAAGCGUUGUCCGGAUUUAUUGGGCGUAAAGAGCGUGUAGGCGGCCGCACAGGUCCGUUGUGAAAACUGGAGGCUUAACCUUCAGACGUCGAUGGAAACCGUGCGGCUAGAGUCCGGAAGAGGAGAAUGGAAUUCCUGGUGUAGCGGUGAAAUGCGCAGAUAUCAGGAAGAACACCCGUGGCGAAGGCGGUUCGCUAGGACGGUACUGACGCUGAGACGCGAAAGCGUGGGGAGCGAACAGG
Molecule: ribosomal RNA, 253 nt
Filed under: uncultured bacterium
Lineage: Bacteria
Description: partial 16S ribosomal RNA
Rfam family: Bacterial small subunit ribosomal RNA
Source: RNAcentral